RNAcentral lists this transfer RNA (85 nucleotides) under Gemmatimonadetes bacterium T265. RNAcentral's name for it is "tRNA-Leu". It matches the Rfam family "tRNA". From Rfam's summary of the family: Transfer RNA (tRNA) molecules are approximately 80 nucleotides in length. Their secondary structure includes four short double-helical elements and three loops (D, anti-codon, and T loops). Lineage: Bacteria; Pseudomonadati; Gemmatimonadota. The record is from RNAcentral.
GCUCGGGUGGUGGAACUGGUAGACACGCAGGUCUCAGAAGCCUGUGUCGGAGACGACGUGGGGGUUCAAGUCCCCCCCCGAGCAC